AGAGUUUGAUCCUGGCUCAGAUUGAACGCUGGCGGUAUGCUUUAGACAUGCAAGUCGGACGGCAAGGCACUUCGGUGCCCUGGAGUGGCGGACGGGUGAGUAACACGUGGGAACCUACCCAAUAGUGGGGGACAGCCCAGCGAAAGCUGGAUUAAUACCGCAUACGCCCCACGGGGGAAAGCAGCAAUGCGCUAUUGGAUGGGCCCGCGUAAGAUUAGCUAGUUGGUAAGGUAAAGGCUUACCAAGGCGACGAUCUUUAGCUGGUCUGAGAGGAUGGCCAGCCACAUCGGGACUGAGACACGGCCCGGACUCCUACGGGAGGCAGCAGUCGGGAAUAUUGGACAAUGGGCGCAAGCCUGAUCCAGCAAUACCGCGUGUGUGAAGAAGGCCUGCGGGUUGUAAAGCACUUUCAGUUGGGAAGAUAAUGACGUUACCAACAGAAGAAGCACCGGCUAACUCCGUGCCAGCAGCCGCGGUAAUACGGAGGGUGCAAGCGUUAAUCGGAAUUACUGGGCGUAAAGCGUGCGUAGGCGGCCUGUUAAGUCAGAUGUGAAAGCCCCGGGCUCAACCUGGGAACUGCAUCUGAUACUGGCAGGCUAGAAUUUAGGAGAGGGGAGUGGAAUUUCCGGUGUAGCGGUGAAAUGCAUAGAGAUCGGAAGGAACAUCAGUGGCGAAGGCGGCUCCCUGGACUAAAAUUGACGCUGAGGCACGAAAGCGUGGGUAGCAAACAGGAUUAGAUACCCUGGUAGUC
RNAcentral lists this ribosomal RNA (751 nucleotides) under uncultured bacterium. Its description in RNAcentral is "bacterial SSU rRNA". It matches the Rfam family "Bacterial small subunit ribosomal RNA", at positions 8 to 795 of the family's 1533-position model. The record is from RNAcentral.